RNAcentral lists this signal recognition particle RNA (91 nucleotides) under Pantoea septica. RNAcentral describes it as "Bacterial small signal recognition particle RNA". It matches the Rfam family "Bacterial small signal recognition particle RNA". Rfam says of the family: The signal recognition particle (SRP) is a universally conserved ribonucleoprotein involved in the co-translational targeting of proteins to membranes. Archaeal SRP consists of a 7S RNA and homologues of the eukaryotic SRP19 and SRP54 proteins. Lineage: Bacteria; Pseudomonadati; Pseudomonadota; Gammaproteobacteria; Enterobacterales; Erwiniaceae. RNAcentral also lists the same sequence under 3 other names. The record is from RNAcentral.
UUGGUCCUCCCGCAAUGCUAACUUGUGAACUCGGUCAGGUCCGGAAGGAAGCAGCCGCAGCAGGCGACGCGUGUGCCGGGAUGUGGCUGGC